This 169-nucleotide ribosomal RNA is filed under the name Polyprion americanus (wreckfish). RNAcentral describes it as "partial small subunit ribosomal RNA". Lineage: Eukaryota; Metazoa; Chordata; Actinopteri; Acropomatiformes; Polyprionidae. The record is from RNAcentral.
CACCGCGGUUAUACGAGAGGCCCAAGUUGAUAGACGCCGGCGUAAAGAGUGGUUAAGAUAAGUUGAAGACUAAAGCCGAACACCCUCAGAGCUGUUAUACGCACCCGGAGGUAAGAAGCCCAAUCACGAAAGUGGCUUUAUUCCACCUGAACCCACGAAAGCUAUGAUA